Molecule: long non-coding RNA, 648 nt
Organism: Gasterosteus aculeatus aculeatus (three-spined stickleback)
Lineage: Eukaryota; Metazoa; Chordata; Actinopteri; Perciformes; Gasterosteidae
Source: Ensembl
CGCCAGAGUCCAAGGAGAAAACGGCAUUCUCCACCCCCACCACCUGGGAGGAGCAUGUGCGGCAGGUGGGCGCAGUGCUGGAGCGGGCGGGGCUCACCGCCAACCCGGGGAAGUGCAGAGUUGGACGGGUGGAGGUACGGUAUUUGGGGUACCACUUGGGGGGCGGGCAGGUGCGCCCUCAGGUGGACAAGACUGCAGCCAUCGCGGCCUGCCCGCGGCCCAAGACAAAAAAAGAGGUGAGGCGGUUCUUGGGGCUGGCGGGGUAUUACAGGCAGUUCAUCCCCGGCUUCGCGGACCUCACCAGCCCCUUGACCGACCUCACCCUCACCCAGAUCCGGUCCAGUGGUCGGAGCAGUGCCAGCAGGCGUUUGAGAAGGUAAAACAGACUCUCUGUGGGGAACCACUCCUCCAUACUCCUAACUUCUCUCUCCCCUUUAUUCUGCAGACCGACUCGUCGAACAGGGGGCCGUUUUGUCCCAGGAGGUGGGGGGGGGGGGUUGACCGCCCCGUUGUGUACAUCAGCCGGAAGCUGUCCGAGGAGGAGGCCCGGUACAGCACGGUGGAAAAGGAGUGCCUGGCCAUCCGGUGGGCGGUCGACUCCCUACGCUACUUCCUCCUGGGACGCUCAUUCACCCUCUGUUCGGACCA